CAUGAAUGUCUAAGUAUANGCAAUUAUACCGCGAAACUGCGAAUGGCUCAUUAAAUCAGUUAUCGUUUAUUUGAUAGUACCUUACUACAUGGAUAACCGUGGUAAUUCUAGAGCUAAUACAUGCUAAAAAUCCCGACUUCGGAAGGGAUGUAUUUAUUAGAUUAAAAACCAAUGCCCUCCGGGGCUCUCUGGUGAUUCAUAAUAACUUCUCGAAUCGCACGGCCUUGCGCCGGCGAUGGUUCAUUCAAAUUUCUGCCCUAUCAACUUUCGACGGCUGGGUCUUGGCCAGCCAUGGUGACAACGGGUAACGGAGGGUUAGGGCUCGACCCCGGAGAAGGAGCCUGAGAAACGGCUACUACAUCCAAGGAAGGCAGCAGGCGCGCAAAUUACCCAAUCCCGACUCGGGGAGGUAGUGACAAUAAAUACUGAUACAGGGCUCUUUUGGGUCUUGGUAAUUGGGAAUGAGUACAAUUUAAAUCCCUUAACGAGGAACAAU
RNAcentral lists this ribosomal RNA (496 nucleotides) under Coniochaeta sp. RTH 8753. RNAcentral describes it as "SSU rRNA". It matches the Rfam family "Eukaryotic small subunit ribosomal RNA", at positions 50 to 548 of the family's 1831-position model. The record is from RNAcentral. Lineage: Eukaryota; Fungi; Ascomycota; Sordariomycetes; Coniochaetales; Coniochaetaceae.